Molecule: long non-coding RNA, 1762 nt
Organism: Manis javanica (Malayan pangolin)
Lineage: Eukaryota; Metazoa; Chordata; Mammalia; Pholidota; Manidae
Source: RefSeq, a predicted model, not a curated record
CCUCCCGUCCCUCCCCGGUCCCCUCACCCCGGGCCCGCAGCGGGCUGCGGAGCCGCCGAAGUGGUUGGGUCCGCGCGGGUGGGCAGGAGCGGGCGUGGGGACGUCGCCGCGACACCCGCCCAGCUGAUGCUGCCUGCCUGUAACAGGAGCUGGGUAUCCGGGGCCUUAUCUCUGCACCGUCUCUGCUGCUGACAGGCUUGCCUCUGCCUUUCCCCUCCCUGUUUGGAUGCGGCCCUGAUUUCUGCCUCUAUCUCCACCAUCACCGCCAUCAUUUAUUUCAUCAUCCAGGGCAGACUGGGGAAAGUCUGUCUAGUCUACCUUACUUGGCUUCUAACAGGGCCCCUGGGCCUUAAGUUACAGUGGGCCUUUGGGCAAAGCAUGUAGGCACCCUCCUUGCCUUCAUUUUCCCAUCUGUGUAAUGGGAGCAAUAGGCCCUUCCCUACCUUGUCACAGGAGUUGGUAUGAUGGGAUGCAGCUCCUGCUUUUUUCAACCCUGCUGGAACAUUUAAUCAGGUCUUUUUGGAGAGACCUCUAAUCUGUCUCGGAGUCUCUCCAGGCUCCCUUCCUGCCUCUACUCUCAGCCUCCCUCACCCCUGGUCUCCAUCUUCCUCCCAUUCUAGAACUGGGCCUAUUCCCCUUCCCACACCUGCCCUUGGGACCCAGCCAUCACUGGGCCCCUUUCCACAGCUGCUGCAGUGUUCCUGUGGGUUUGCAAUCUCCAGAACUGGGCUGGACUCCCAGUUUAGUCACCCACUGGCCGUGUGACUUUGGCAAGGCCUUCACCUCUCUGAGCUGAGCUAUGGCUAGGGGCUAACAGUGGGGCUCUGCGCAUCCUAGACUGACUCGGAGGCACACAGGUCAUGGCACCAAAGCACACUGAAGACCAUGAAGCACUCCCAGCCAGCCACACAGGGCUCUUGGCUGUUCCUCUGCUGAACCAAGCAUUCCUCUAGCUCAGGUUAUCCAAUUUUUGGCAUUGGAAGACUGAAUUAUGAUAGGCUCCCAAUCUAUUCAGGUUGGAUGCACAUGGAUGAAGCACAUAACAUACACAGAAGCAGAGAGAGGAAAGGAAGGGAGGGUAUGAUGGGAAACUGUACAGUGAGACCUCUCAAGGUGCAUCUCCUGGUUGAGGACUUUGUGAUUUCAGAUACUGGGGGAUGGGAGUCAGGGAAUGGAAUAGUUUGACUGGGUCACCAGGAAGACAGAAGAGCAGGACUUUGCUGAACCAAGGCGUUCAGUGCAGUUGAAGACUUCAGGCUCUAGCUUGCUCGGUCACCCACUCCACAAUGUGCAGAGAGCCCUAUGGCAUGUAAAACACUGAGGCAGACCCCGUGUUGAUGCCAAGAUGCAGCCCUCACCCUCAAGAUGCUGGAGAGGAGAGAAGACAAGCCAGUGGUUAAUCUCAAGGUGGUCAGGCUGUGUGGUAAGAACCAUAACAGAGGAAAGUGAUGGAGAGCAAGGCCCAGGAAACCCUCAGGCUGGCAUUUUCACUGAUCUUUGAAAACCAGGCAGGAUUUUUUUUGAUAUCUAUUAAUACAGAUUACUUUGUCCAGUUAUACAAGUAAUUAAUACAUGUUUAUACUUUUAAAACUUUUAAGAAAAUGUAUAAAAGUAGAAAGAAGAAAGUAGUUACCCAGCUCCAAAACCCAGAGAAAACCAUGGUUAAAAUAUAGGUGUGUUUUCCCCUAUGUUAAGCAACCUAAGUGUCCAUCGAUGGAUGAGGAAUAAAGAAGAUGUGGUACAUAUACACAAUGGAAUAUUA